CCCUUAGAUGUCCUGGGCCGCACGCGCGUUACACUGAUGCAUUCAACGAGCUUAUAACCUUGGCCGAGAGGCCUGGGCAAUCUUGUUAACGUGCAUCGUGAUAGGGAUAGAUUAUUGAAAUUAUUAAUCUUGAACGAGGAAUUCCUAGUAAACGCAGAUCAUCAAUCUGCAUUGAUUACGUCCCUGCCCUUUGUACACACCGCCCGUCGCUCCUACCGAUUGAGUGUUCCGGUGAAUUAUUCGGACUGCAACAGUUAUCUGUCGCGGAAAGUCUUGUGAACCUUAACACUUAGAGGAAGGAAAAGUCGUAACA
This 313-nucleotide ribosomal RNA is filed under the name uncultured eukaryote. Its description in RNAcentral is "partial 18S ribosomal RNA". It matches the Rfam family "Eukaryotic small subunit ribosomal RNA", at positions 1470 to 1796 of the family's 1831-position model. The record is from RNAcentral.